RNAcentral lists this long non-coding RNA (425 nucleotides) under Homo sapiens (human). RNAcentral's name for it is "long non-coding RNA NONHSAT217008.1". Lineage: Eukaryota; Metazoa; Chordata; Mammalia; Primates; Hominidae. The record is from RNAcentral.
CUCCAGCUGCCACUUAGAAGUGUAAACAGGAGCCAGUAACAGGAGAAACUGGUGUCUGGAAUCUGAGCGAAAGUGGUCCGAAAGUCAAGGACUAGCCCGGCCAAGGAGAGACCACAGAGGCUUGGGACCAUGUACCUGCAUACUAAGGUUUCUGAGGCCCUACUAUGUGUACAGCACAGUGGUGGACUCUUGAGGGACACGAAGAUGACUAAGACACAGUCGCAGCCUUUCAGCAGCUUCUAAUCCAUUAGGGGAUAUGAGGCAAGUGUACCGCGACCACCACACCAGGACUCAGGUGCAGAUUGCACACCUGAAGGGAAGUGAGGUUGGAGCUGCAAGAGGUGUCACUGUCGGUGAGCAAAGCUAGAAGAGUUUGCCACUUGACAGAAAGAGAAUUUUAGGGUGCCCUGGACUCUUGCAUUUUU